CCUACGGGGGGCAGCAGUGGGGAAUAUUGGACAAUGGGCGAAAGCCUGAUCCAGCCAUGCCGCGUGUGUGAAGAAGGCCUUCGGGUUGUAAAGCACUUUCAGUGGGGAAGAAAGCCUUGGGGCUAAUACCCUCGAGGAAGGACAUCACCCACAGAAGAAGCACCGGCUAACUCCGUGCCAGCAGCCGCGGUAAUACGGAGGGUGCGAGCGUUAAUCGGAAUUACUGGGCGUAAAGCGCGCGUAGGCGGUCUGAUAAGCCGGUUGUGAAAGCCCCGGGCUCAACCUGGGAACGGCAUCCGGAACUGGCAGGCUAGAGUGCAGGAGAGGAAGGUAGAAUUCCCGGUGUAGCGGUGAAAUGCGUAGAGAUCGGGAGGAAUACCAGUGGCGAAGGCGGCCUUCUGGACUGACACUGACGCUGAGGUGCGAAAGCGUGGGUAGCAAACAGGAUUAGAUACCCCAGUAGUC
RNAcentral lists this ribosomal RNA (465 nucleotides) under Vreelandella stevensii. RNAcentral's name for it is "partial 16S ribosomal RNA". It matches the Rfam family "Bacterial small subunit ribosomal RNA", at positions 338 to 795 of the family's 1533-position model. The record is from RNAcentral. Lineage: Bacteria; Pseudomonadati; Pseudomonadota; Gammaproteobacteria; Oceanospirillales; Halomonadaceae.